Molecule: non-coding RNA, 1249 nt
Organism: Microcebus murinus (gray mouse lemur)
Lineage: Eukaryota; Metazoa; Chordata; Mammalia; Primates; Cheirogaleidae
Source: RefSeq, a predicted model, not a curated record
AGGUAUUUUCCAAGAUCUGCUAUUACAAAACAUGCUGCAAUAACCUCCUGUACAUGCCUCCUUGUGCUUUUACAUGAGUGUUUCCUUUGGAUAUAAACUUGGGUGUAGGAUUACUGGGAUGUAUGAAAUGCCCACUUUCAACUCAAAUAGAUAUUGAAAGAAUGUUAUCCAAAGUGGCUGGAUCAAUAUACUUCCACUAGAAGCAUGCAGGGCAGCCAGAAAUCUGCUUCCAACAUUUUCGUCUGGAAUGAUGCUGCUUUUCCAAUUUAUCAAGGUUCUACACCUGAGUUGCUAUUGAUGGGCUGCCAGGAUGAGACAGACAGACCUCCAGACAAUGAAAUUCCUCGGUAAUUACUGCAUUUACAUAGUAUGAUUAUUUCUGGUCAGAGAACACACUUUAAGGCAAUGGAUAUUGGUGGUAGAAAACCCUCAGACAGGAGACCUGCAUUGGCAACACCCAAAAACGUAUGCCACGCUCUGCACAACCUCCUCUCAAUGGGACAGCCAGAAAGUGUGCAGUGCCACAGUGCACAAGGUUAGCAGCUGGAAAAGAAAUCACGGCAAGCCAAGGCUGUGUUGCAAUCCAGUGAGGAGAGAAGGAUGUGAAGAUUCACAGUCCUGGAGAAACAAGUACUGUACUCUAAUAGGCACUGAGUUGAUACUGCUUAUUAUAAUUCAGUUUUUUGGGGAAGGUUCUGUCUUUAUAAUUCUGGUUGUUAAAGCUAGACGUGACUUAGGUGUGAAGGGAAGCUGUUGUGGUUAAGAGAAUGGGCUUUGAGAGAGACAAACCUAGGCUUGAGCCCUAGCUCUGGAACUCAAAGAGGCAAAAUUAUAUGGCGAAGGUCCCCAGAGGCGCUAUGAUUCAGUUUCCUCAACUGCAAAAUGCCAGUAACAAUAGGGUUUUCUUCAUAAAGUUCCUGUAAGGAUUGAGUUAUCUCAAGCAUGUAAAACACUUUUUACCAUAAGUGACAAUUCUUAAUGUUAGUUUUCAUUAAAUGAGAAUACAUCAGUAUUCUAGCCAGCCUUCAUAUAAUUCCAGACUCUUGAGCCCAAUUAUCUUAACCAGAUAAGAAAUUCAUUUGGCAGAACUAUAAAAAUUAUUCCCCAGAAGUUAUAACUAGAUUUAGGCUAUGACUAACAUUCCAAGCCCAUUACUUUCAUGAAAUAGAGAUCGUAAUGAGUGAUAUAGGAGGAAAGGGUAAGAGACUCUUAUAGUUGCCUAACUCAAGGAAUACACACUACCUCAACU